UACGUAGGGUGCAAGCGUUAAUCGGAAUUACUGGGCGUAAAGCGUGCGCAGGCGGUUAUGCAAGACAGAUGUGAAAUCCCCGGGCUUAACCUGGGAACCGCAUUUGUGACUGCAUAGCUGGAGUACGGCAGAGGGGGAUGGAAUUCCGCGUGUAGCAGUGAAAUGCGUAGAUAUGCGGAGGAACACCGAUGGCGAAGGCAGUCCCCUGGGCCUGUACUGACGCUGAGAAGCGAAAGCAUGGGGAGCGAACAGG
RNAcentral lists this ribosomal RNA (253 nucleotides) under uncultured bacterium. RNAcentral's name for it is "partial 16S ribosomal RNA". It matches the Rfam family "Bacterial small subunit ribosomal RNA", at positions 524 to 776 of the family's 1533-position model. The record is from RNAcentral.